GAGCGGCGAACGGGUGAGUAACACGUGAGCAACCUGCCCCUGACUCUGGGAUAAGCCCGGGAAACUGGGUCUAAUACCGGAUAUGACCGCCCCUGGCAUCGGGUGGUGGUGGAAAGUUUUUUCGGUUGGGGAUGGGCUCGCGGCCUAUCAGCUUGUUGGUGGGGUAGUGGCCUACCAAGGCGACGACGGGUAGCCGGCCUGAGAGGGCGACCGGCCACACUGGGACUGAGACACGGCCCAGACUCCUACGGGAGGCAGCAGUGGGGAAUAUUGCGCAAUGGGCGGAAGCCUGACGCAGCGACGCCGCGUGGGGGAUGACGGCCUUCGGGUUGUAAACCUCUUUCAGCAGGGACGAAGUUGACGUGUACCUGCAGAAGAAGCGCCGGCUAACUACGUGCCAGCAGCCGCGGUAAUACGUAGGGCGCAAGCGUUGUCCGGAAUUAUUGGGCGUAAAGAGCUCGUAGGUGGCUGGUCGCGUCUGCCGUGAAAGCCCGCAGCUUAACUGCGGGUCUGCGGUGGAUACGGGCCGGCUAGAGGUAGGUAGGGGCAAG
Molecule: ribosomal RNA, 551 nt
Filed under: Nonomuraea sp. 434E11
Lineage: Bacteria; Bacillati; Actinomycetota; Actinomycetes; Streptosporangiales; Streptosporangiaceae
Description: bacterial SSU rRNA
Rfam family: Bacterial small subunit ribosomal RNA
Source: RNAcentral